Non-coding RNA from Oryctolagus cuniculus (rabbit), 1332 nucleotides. The record is from RefSeq and is a predicted model, not a curated record. Lineage: Eukaryota; Metazoa; Chordata; Mammalia; Lagomorpha; Leporidae.
GAGUGACUGUGCCGGCCCCGUGACUGGCAGGUGCAUGCCUCCCAGGCCCAGGUGAGCUCUGUUAGGUCGUCAGAGGCGCUGUCCAGCCUCUGAUAGCCGCGUGGAUCCAGUUCUGCCCAGUGUCAGUGCUGAUGCCGGGUGCUCCGCCAUCCAGCACUCUGCCCCAAAGCAGAAUGAUAGGAUAUCCUGGAGUGAUAGAAUCUUCCAGAAUGAAGGAACAUACUGGAUCAUGACUGGCCUGUGUUAUACAGUACAGAUGGUCCCCAACAUCCAUGGGCCCCACAAGAGGUUGAAGAUGCCGAUGCUGCAGCUCAGGAAGACGCCCUGGGGCUGCAGACCCCUCUUUAAAGCAUCUCAAGGUGAGACAGCAGGCAGAGGCUCCGCCGUGAGACAGGCAGGGCGGCCCCAGGGCUGGGGAGGGCGCCAGGCGUUCACAGAGGAGGGCGAUUGCUGAUGUCGGUGAAGGUGGACGUUGCAGUUGCUCAGGUUCCUCUGACUCCACAAGGAGCAUCGUGGGCUGAGUGUCUGUGCCCUCCAGUGUUCUCCCGUUGGAGCCCUGCCCCCACACACCGUGGGGUUGCUGGGACAUAGCGGUGAAUGAGGUCAUUGCACGGACAGAGCCCUGGUCUGCCCACAUUCGAUGGAUGAGGUCAUCGGAUGGACGGAGCCCUGGUCUGCCCACAUUCGAUGGAUGAGGUCAUCGGAUGGAUGGAGCCCUGGUCUGCCCACAUUCGAUGGAUGAGGUCAUCGCAUGGACGGAGCCCUGGUCUGGUCACAUUCGAUGGAUGAGGUCAUUGCACGACAGAGCCCUGGUCUGCCCACAUUCAAUGGAUGAGGUCAUUGCAUGGACAGAACCUUGGUCUAGUCGUAUUCAAUGGAUGAGGUCAUUGUGUGGACAGAAUCCUAGUCUAGGCACAUUCGAUGGAUGAGGUCAUUGCAUGGAUGGAGCCCUGGUCUGCCCACAUUCGAUGGAUGAGGUCAUCGCACGGAUGGAGCCCUGGUCUGGUUGCAUUCGAUGGAUGAGGUCAUUGCAUGGACAGAGUCCUGGUCUACCCACAUUUGAUGGAUGAGGUCAUCGCAUGGACGGAGCCCUGGUCUGCCCACAUUCGAUGGAUGAGGUCAUCGCAUGGAUGGAGCCCUGGUCUAGGCGCAUUCGAUGGAUGAGGUCAUCGCAUGGAUGGAGCCCUGGUCUGCCCACAUUUGAUGGAUGAGGUCAUCGCAUGGACGGAGCCCUGGUCUGCCCACAUUCGUGUCCUUGCAAGGAGAGGAGCAGACCCCAGAGCACCCAGUGCUGCAUGAGGUUGAGGAGGAGGCCUGGAGGGAGAGAAGGCU